AGAUGAUGAAGGAGAAAAGUCAGCUUCAUGGGUAUCCAUACCUAUUUCCAUUAUCAUUGUGGUCAUUUUGAUUGUUAUUGGUUUUGUAUUUUGGAAAAAAAGACGGAAUAGGAGACAAGCUAGCGGCGAACCUGAAAUCCUUGAGUUAAGAAGUCCGCCAUAAUUAUUUGAUCUUCAGCGGCGACCAUGUGGUGACAGCAAUUUGAAUCUCCUUAAUAGGAAGAAGGAAAUGGUGUAAUAGGAAGAAGGAAAUGGUGAAUGUUAAUACGUUUCCGAAACCAAAAUGAUUUGCUUAUGAAUUUUUGUAAGUUUUGUUUGCUAAGAUAACCAAAAACAAUUAUCCCUAUCUAUAUCUUUUUG
Molecule: long non-coding RNA, 360 nt
Organism: Saccostrea cuccullata (small rock oyster)
Lineage: Eukaryota; Metazoa; Mollusca; Bivalvia; Ostreida; Ostreidae
Exons: 3
Source: RefSeq, a predicted model, not a curated record